This 253-nucleotide ribosomal RNA is filed under the name uncultured bacterium. Its description in RNAcentral is "partial 16S ribosomal RNA". It matches the Rfam family "Bacterial small subunit ribosomal RNA", at positions 524 to 776 of the family's 1533-position model. The record is from RNAcentral.
UACGUAGGGGGCAAGCGUUGUCCGGAAUCAUUGGGCGUAAAGCGCGUGUAGGCGGUUCGGUAAGUCGGCUGUGAAAGUCCAGGGCUCAACCCUCGGAUGCCGGUGGAUACUGUCGGGCUUGAGUACGGAAGAGGCGAGUGGAAUUCCUGGUGUAGCGGUGAAAUGCGCAGAUAUCAGGAGGAACACCAAUUGCGAAGGCAGCUCGCUGGGACGUUACUGACGCUGAGACGCGAAAGCGUGGGGAGCGAACAGG